CGAACGCUCAUGUACCGACUAGAGGGUAGCUAGCGCCUAUCUAUCUAUGGUCUAAGAGCUCCCGGCCCAUAAACAGGACGCCCGGAACUUCACUUCAAACUAAACCCCCGGAUGAAGAGCAAAUCCCCCCUCCCUUUAACACUGACGUCCUUUUGUAAUAGGCUUUCUCGGAAGCAAGAAAAUAGCUAGCGCAUAGGGGGGAAAUUUGCUAAGGUUUAGUACUACUGUGUAUUAGGCCUUCAAGAGCUCUGCUACUAACCUAACUUAAUGAGUUAGGCUAUCUUGUUUGGCAGCAUAAAAGCCCAAAAAGAGUAGGUAAUUCUUACCUGUAUCAUUGGCUUCAUCGAUUCCCUUCCUUUCUCCUUCUCUUUCCUUUGAGCUAAGUCUCUUGCAAUGGCUCGUGCAUCUUUGUUUUCUUCCUUGAUUUCAGGAAUGAGUAGCCUUCUUUCCUUCCUUUAGUUCUAGAGUGAAUUUAGGAGUUACAGUUACAGAGCAGGGGAUUCCCUUAAUUAAGGCCUUUAUAAGUAGCAUUCAGGAUCUCUUUAGAAGUUGCAAUAAAAAAAUAUAAUAUAAGAAGUCAAGGUUGUAAAUGACAUGAAAGCCAGAGUUAGAUGACCGGUCUGUAACUUAAAUUCUAUAUUAGAAGAUCGAAUAAGAUGGAAUCUAGCCGGACAAGGAGACAAGGAGGCUAUGGGAGUUCUAACCUCCCUCGAUCUGUAACUGCUAUUCAAAAAUCGUAGUUCUCGACUUUCUUCUUUGAUGAAAGAAGGUUUCUAGUCUAAUCUGAAAGAAACCUAUAUAUAAAUGCCUUCAGAAGAGACAUGAAAGCUGGAGUCAGACAGGAGGUUGGACUUGGACAGCUAGAGCUAGGAGGAAAGGGCUUGAGAUAGGCUUCUAGUCAACCGAUUAAGACUACUACUUCUUUCUAGUAGGCAUUAGAGCGAUGGACUGAGUCUUUAGAGGAAGCAAGUGAAAGUUACUACACGAGGAAGUCAAGGGAUUUUCUUCUUUGCUUGUUUUUUUGUUGUGGUUUGCUUUUGUUGUUUUUUUUUCCCUUUCGUUCUUUUCUUAUGAGGUCGUGUACAACAACCUUAACCGUAUAAGCCUGGGCUGGGCCUACCCCCAUCCCUAGAGGAGCCGUAUGAGGCAGAAGCUCC
This 1157-nucleotide long non-coding RNA is filed under the name Panax ginseng (ginseng). Its description in RNAcentral is "long non-coding RNA (PGIN_LNC016891)". Lineage: Eukaryota; Viridiplantae; Streptophyta; Magnoliopsida; Apiales; Araliaceae. The record is from RNAcentral.